AUGAACGCUAGCGGCAGGCUUAACACAUGCACGUCGAGGGGCAGCAUAAUGGAUAGCAAUAUCUAUGGUGGCGACCGGCGCACGGGUGCGUAACGCGUAUGCAACCUACCUUUAACAGGGGGAUAACACUGAGAAAUUGGUACUAAUACCCCAUAAUAUCAUAGAAGGCAUCUUUUAUGGUUGAAAAUUCCGAUGGUUAGAGAUGGGCAUGCGUUGUAUUAGCUAGUUGGUGGGGUAACGGCUCACCAAGGCGACGAUACAUAGGGGGACUGAGAGGUUAACCCCCCACACUGGUACUGAGACACGGACCAGACUCCUACGGGAGGCAGCAGUGAGGAAUAUUGGUCAAUGGACGCAAGUCUGAACCAGCCAUGCCGCGUGCAGGAUGACGGCUCUAUGAGUUGUAAACUGCUUUUGUACGAGGGUAAACGCAGAUACGUGUAUCUGUCUGAAAGUAUCGUACGAAUAAGGAUCGGCUAACUCCGUG
Molecule: ribosomal RNA, 487 nt
Filed under: uncultured bacterium
Lineage: Bacteria
Description: partial 16S ribosomal RNA
Rfam family: Bacterial small subunit ribosomal RNA
Source: RNAcentral